This 515-nucleotide ribosomal RNA is filed under the name uncultured bacterium. RNAcentral's name for it is "partial 16S ribosomal RNA". It matches the Rfam family "Bacterial small subunit ribosomal RNA", at positions 28 to 523 of the family's 1533-position model. The record is from RNAcentral.
GAUGAACGCUGGCGGCGUGCCUAAUACAUGCAAGUCGAGCGAAUGGAUUAAGAGCUUGCUCUUAUGAAGUUAGCGGCGGACGGGUGAGUAACACGUGGGUAACCUGCCCAUAAGACUGGGAUAACUCCGGGAAACCGGGGCUAAUACCGGAUAACAUUUUGAACCGCAUGGUUCGAAAUUGAAAGGCGGCUUCGGCUGUCACUUAUGGAUGGACCCGCGUCGCAUUAGCUAGUUGGUGAGGUAACGGCUCACCAAGGCAACGAUGCGUAGCCGACUGGAGAGGGUGAUCGGCCACACUGGGACUGAGACACGGCCAAGACUCCUACGGGAGGCAGCAGUAGGGAAUCUUCCGCAAUGGACGAAAGUCUGACGGAGCAACGCCGCGUGAGUGAUGAAGGCUUUCGGGUCGUAAAACUCUGUUGUUAGGGAAGAACAAGUGCUAGUUGAAUAAGCUGGCACCUUGACGGUACCUAACCAGAAAGCCACGGCUAACUACGUGCCAGCCGCCGCGGUAA